Long non-coding RNA from Hordeum vulgare subsp. vulgare (domesticated barley), 128 nucleotides. RefSeq lists it as uncharacterized. The transcript has 3 exons. The record is from RefSeq and is a predicted model, not a curated record. Lineage: Eukaryota; Viridiplantae; Streptophyta; Magnoliopsida; Poales; Poaceae.
GCAAGAUCCUGAGAGUUCUGCUCAGCUGCAAGAUUACGUUCUUAGUGCUUAUGACAAUUCUGCAAAAGAGAGGGCUGGUGGCCGCCUUUUGGUCCCAAACGUACAAGUCUGUAGGGGAUGACUUGAUU